This 93-nucleotide transfer RNA is filed under the name Candidatus Omnitrophota bacterium. RNAcentral describes it as "Candidatus Omnitrophica bacterium tRNA-Ser". It matches the Rfam family "tRNA". From Rfam's summary of the family: Transfer RNA (tRNA) molecules are approximately 80 nucleotides in length. Their secondary structure includes four short double-helical elements and three loops (D, anti-codon, and T loops). The record is from RNAcentral. Lineage: Bacteria; Pseudomonadati; Candidatus Omnitrophota.
GGAGAGGUGUCUGAGCGGCCGAAAGAGGCGGCUUGCUAAGCCGUUAAGGGGGUUUUACUUCCUUCGUGGGUUCAAAUCCCACCCUCUCCGCCA